AUAGUCUAGAGCAGUUGUAGUAUUAUUUUGUUGUCUUCCCAACAGCAAGAGUUGGUUCCCAACCAUUGUGAUUUCAUUCCUCUUUGUUUGUCAUAGCCAAUUACUAUACCCUCCUUUCAAUAUACCCUUUCAGUAGUUUUGAAUUACUCACAGCUUCUGCUUAAACACAUUUUCUGUUUACUCAAGAAUGUGCAUUCUCCUUGUCAUCACUUUUGCCUUUCUCUGUAUAUCUUCAACUUCUGUUUCACAACAACUGAGUAGACCUGUACCUGUCUCAGAUGCAGAUCUCCUCCUAGAAGAGGACCUGCUUGGUGUAAUUAACCUUCAGUGUCCCUGUUCAAGAGUGCUUUCCUGCCAUCCCGUCUUUUAUAUUACUGACCAGCCUUUAUGUAACUACUCUAGACCAAUCAUCUGGGACCAGAAGGGAACCCCAUUCAACAGUGGACUGGUGUGUAUUAGGACAUAAUGCCUUCAAUAAUCUGAGGGAGAAAUGAUUUGUCCUAGAAGUUUAUAACCAACCAAGCUAUCAGCCAUGUGUGAAUGCAAGGACUCAAAAAGUUUAUGUCUGCCAUGCACCUCUCAGGAACUGCUGGAUAAUGUACUCCAGAAGAACAAGAAAAAGGCAUACAACUGAUAUAGUAAAUCCAAAAUAGAAAAACGUCAAAAGUACAUUCUAAGGCAAAGGGUAAGACUAACAUCUACUCUGGAGCCAUAUAAAGCAACCUAUGCUCUUCAUAUUUUCCCAAGAGGUGAAGAAAAAUUUUUAUUAGCAGAAGCUCUCUGGUUUCAUACCACAGAAGUCUUCCCAGCAUACUUUGUGGAAGUAGAUAAUCCAGCCUCCUUCUCCUGUUUCAGUUUUCAAAAAAGGUAAAAAUGUCUAUCAAAAAUGGUAUAUCUCAAAAUUUUGUAUCUAAACUUGAAACUCCCAGGAAUACUCUUAGCCAUCUAGUCUCUCAAAAUGUGCUCUUGGACCACUUGGAUCGCUAUCAACUGGGGAGCUUACUACAAAUACACAUUUCUGGAACCUCCCAGAUUUACCAAAUCAGAAUUUCUAGAGAAGACCAAGGAAUAUAAUUUCUUCUAUCAACCCAGAUGAUUCUUUUCUGAUACCAAUAGAAUUCUAAUUUAGCUGGCACAAAAACCAACACUCAGAUCAAUGGAACAGAAUAGAGAACCCAGAAAUGGACCCAGAAAAGUAUGGCCAACUAAUCUUUGACAA
This is a long non-coding RNA of Lynx canadensis (Canada lynx), 1219 nucleotides long. RefSeq lists it as uncharacterized. The transcript is spliced from 3 exons. NCBI's taxonomy places the organism in Eukaryota, Metazoa, Chordata, Mammalia, Carnivora, Felidae. The record is from RefSeq and is a predicted model, not a curated record.